AAAAUAUGUCUGGUUCAGGAAACCCGACCGACCCUAUUUUUUACCCGCCGACCCUAAACUUUUUUUUCGAAAUCGCGGCCGAAAACCGCUAUACUGCGUAUUGAAAAUUUUCUUUUCUGUAGUUAUUGCUCUUUGGGUUAAUAGAGCGCGUUUAUAUCGAUCUUUGGGUUAAUAGAGCGCACAACAAUGGCGGCGCCCAUGGCGUGUUCACCAGCCACUUUGAUGGCCAUAAAACUCCAAAAAUGUGAACAUGGAGCAGAGCGGCAGGUCAUGAAAGCGGUCCAGCAUGGUUGCCUAGCUAAUGCCUUAUAUGAUUUUGUGCAACACCACUCACAAUGUGCAUUUGUUACAAUGACAGAAUUCACAAAAGAGAUGUAUUAAAGUGACUUAUCUUUACAAGAUAUUUUAAACAAAAUUGUCGACAGAAAUCUUUAAAAAAUGGAAUUUUUAUAAAAUACUAGGUUGUACAUGAAUCUCUUUUGUGAACUCUUUGUGCAGGUUAGCAUUGUACAGAGGGUGACUAAAAGGCAUAGGGUACAUAAACAGCAAGCAUAGAAAAGGAAAAUAAUGUGAAUAAACAAAGAUGAUACAUGGUUAGAUAGAUUAGAUAGAUUUAUUCGACAUAAAAAUUGCAUAUAACAUGACAAAUACAAAUUUAAACAUGUAUAAACAUAUAUAACAUUUAUGUCAAGGAUAACACAAAAAAGAGUUAAAAUAAAACCUUAUUUCCAUUGUGGUCCUUACAGAUAAUACAGGGUUGAAAUGCUCUGUUAUUAUGUGGUUAAAUGACUGCAUUGAAACAAGCACACAUCACAAUACCACAUGCUGGGAGUUACAAAGUGAUCUGACUGCUCUGUGCAUCGUCUACACAUAGACAACAUACGUCCAAAAAAAAAAAAAAAAAAAAAAAAAAAAAAUGGAAAAAAUGCCUACCCUCCUAAUUUUUU
This is a long non-coding RNA of Mya arenaria, 947 nucleotides long. RefSeq lists it as uncharacterized. The transcript has 2 exons. The record is from RefSeq and is a predicted model, not a curated record. Lineage: Eukaryota; Metazoa; Mollusca; Bivalvia; Myida; Myidae.